UACAUUUCAUGGAAAUGACUCUAACGCAAAAGGAAAAUUGCAAGAAUACUUUUUGUAAAAAAAAAAAAUUCUCAUACCAUCAUAUUUUAGGAAUUACUUUUUUUUUAUAAGUUAUUUGAAUGUGGAUAAUAGAUGUAAUGACCAAUUUUGGCCCGGGCCCGCUAAAACAAACCCCAAACCUAUAUAUAUAAAAUAAAUAAUAAUAAUAAUAACACGGUCCAAUUACAGAAACCAAUAGCCCAAACUAACAGCCCCAAACCAGCUACAUAACCCCUAGCCCAACAAUUAAACCUAACCCACACUUACAAGGCCCGAUAGGCCCAAAAUAUUAAAAUUAGACAGAGCCCUAGCUGUCUACUUGCGCCGCAGCAGUCCGAGCCCCCCAGCGCCUCCGUCCACGCCAACCCUGGCCACCGUACGCCAGCACAGCCCUCGUACGCCACGCACGCACUCCGUACCUGCAAACAGACAAGGCAAAACAAAAAAUACGAACAAAAAAAACAGCGGGGCAGUAGCAAAUAGGGAAUAUUGUAUUAUUUUUCUCUUAUUUUCUUCCUUUUUCGCCUAUAAAGGCCUAAAAAAAUCAUUGUAUUGAGACUACGAAUAGAUUCAACAAAAAAAGAACAAUCAAAUAUAUAAAAUCGAUCAAGGUGAUUUUUCGAUUAAAAUCUCGGAUUUCUUUUAGUUUCGUUCGCCUGGGUUUUGUGUUCAUAUAUUCGAAAGAAAAAAAAGGGGCUUACCUUCGUUUUUGGUUCCCUCGAAUCCUCACUGGCUUCGUUGCAAUCGGAGUUUGGGUGUUGAUUCUGAGAUCUUUGAGCGUAGCCUUGGAUUCGUGAUUGGACGGAGCCUGAUUAGGCUUUAGCGUGAUGACCGGCGGCUAAACAUGGAGGCCAAACGGCAGUCCAAGGGCGCCUCUUGAUUCAGCCGAAUGAGAGGGGAAGAAAAGGGGCUUUAGGAUCUGUUUUGUUUUCUUUUCAAAUGGCCAAGAAUCAGUUUAGGGUUUGUUUAAAUUUUGGUUUCUAUAAAACGAAGGAAAUGACGUCGUUUUAGGCCAAUUCCUAUGGCUUCAAAACAGUGCCGUUUAAGAGCACCAACCCGAUGACCCGGCCCACGUUCGGACGAGACCCGCGCUUUUGGCCUUGGAGGGUUAAUUAUGCAUUAAGUCCUCUCCUUUUGCGUGCGCAUUCAAUCACGCCUUAUCUAUUCCGCUUCAUUUUUUAAAUUAGCCCUGUAAUUUGCGCGUGUUUGCGCUUUAGUCUGUGUCUCUGCUCUGCGUUUUAGAACUUGGGUUAUUUCCAAUUCUAGUCCUUUUACAUUGACGCGCAUCACACAUUGGCCCUCUUUUGAUUAUUUUAUUUAUAAACUAGCCUAUUCAUUUUAAUCGUAUUUUAAUUGAGUCCUUUUAAUUUAGUUCAUUAUCUUUUUAAUUCGUUUAGCAUUUAUUUUAUUUUCAUAUACAUUUUAAAUUAUUUUGAUAAUUCACUCUUUUAUUAUUAAACUAUUAUCUUAAAAUUACUUUGUAUAUCAUGUUGUGUCAAAAUUUUGUAUAAUAUUU
RNAcentral lists this long non-coding RNA (1555 nucleotides) under Gossypium barbadense (sea-island cotton). RNAcentral describes it as "long non-coding RNA (GBAR_LNC010045)". The record is from RNAcentral. Lineage: Eukaryota; Viridiplantae; Streptophyta; Magnoliopsida; Malvales; Malvaceae.